AUUUUAGGUAGUUUUAAAUGCUACGAUCAAAAAUUUUUACUUCAUAGGAAAAAGGGGAAAUUACUGAAUAUUUCUGAGGACAGGAGUGCCAUGUUUAGAGUAGUACAUGACAGGCAAUUAUAGAAUAGAAGUGGGAAAAACCUAGAGGGAAAGAGACCAGUAAGGAGCAUAUUCUGGUAAACAAAGUGGGACUAGAUUAGGUUCUAAAAAAGGGGGAAUAGCUCCAGUGAGAAUAUAGAGAAUGAGAUAGACCAAGAAUUGUCACUAAGAGGGGAAUAUCAGGUCUUGGUAGUUAUGGGAUUAUGUGUGAUAUAAGUUAAAGGAAAAUUUAAACAUGCAUGCAUUUUGAUUUUUUCUCUAGUGGGCACAGUAUAUAUUAAGAAAAAAUCUAUGUAGUGUUGUGCAGAAUAUCAGAUUUGGAAGCAGAGAGCCUCGGUAUGAAUUUUGCCUCUGCUAGUUGCUACUGUGAGCAGCAAUUCUUCAGAAAAAAACUGCAAAAUCAUACAGUUUUAUUAUACAAUCUCUAAGGACCCUUCCAUUUCUAAAUCUAUAAUUCUUACUCUAAUAGUUUGUUAUUAUAAUUAACUCAUUUUAAGCCUAGGGCUGUGUAAUGGUACCUGGGGCCCACAUGGUUCCCUUUUCUGUUGCUUUAGGGAAUACAAUCACAAUUGCUUCAGUCCCCCAGUUACAAAAAUUCCAAACACUUGAGCAAAGGUUUGGCAUUCUUCCUUAACAUACAUUUAUAUUUAUCACUAGUUAAUUCCUGGCCCUUUUGUGUUUGAAGCAAAAUUUAACUUAUUGAGAAGGUUUGGGAAAAGAAGCAGCAGAGUAUAUUGCAGUCUUAAUAGACAAAUACUGUCAGGGGAAGCAAGGGGAAGAAAACACUUAGAAUUUUCUUCAGUCAUUGUGAAGACAAGGAAGCAAACAUCAAAAGAAGCAUAAGACUUGGAUCAUAGGAUUUCAAUCAGGAAAAGAAGAAACUUUACCCAGAUUACACAGUUAAAGAGCAAAAUCAAGAUUUGUACAUAUGCCUCCUGACUACAAAACCAGUAUUCUUUUCUGCCACAUUUAGCUAAAGGAGCCACCUGCCAGUGACUGCUGGAGGUCUAAGUUAGACCUGUAGAAUGGAUUUCUUCAUGUGAGAGGAUGAUGAUACAAGAACACUGAGAGGCUUUGUCUCUUCUUCCUUCUUACCUCCAAUUUAUCUCAUUCCCAGUCUGCAACCCCUGUGUCAAUAAAGGCUGCUUUGCAAUUCCAA
Molecule: long non-coding RNA, 1258 nt
Organism: Antechinus flavipes (yellow-footed antechinus)
Lineage: Eukaryota; Metazoa; Chordata; Mammalia; Dasyuromorphia; Dasyuridae
Exons: 3
Source: RefSeq, a predicted model, not a curated record